UACGGAGGGUGCAAGCAUUGAUCGGAAUUACUGGGCGUAAAGGGCGCGUAGGCGGUCUGAUAAGUCGGAUGUGAAAUUCCGGGGCUCAACCCCGGAGCUGCAUUUGAAACUAUCAGACUAGAGUACAGUUAGGGUAAACGGAAUUCCACGUGUAGCGGUGAAAUGCGUAGAUAUGUGGAAGAACACCAGUGGUGAAGACGGUUUACUGGGCUGUAACUGACGCUGAGGCGCGAAAGCUAGGGGAGCAAAC
Molecule: ribosomal RNA, 250 nt
Filed under: uncultured bacterium
Lineage: Bacteria
Description: partial 16S ribosomal RNA
Rfam family: Bacterial small subunit ribosomal RNA
Source: RNAcentral